AUAAAUUCAUUAAAAUCACCUAAGAUCCUCAGAACUUAUCUAUUAUUAUUAUUUCAUCAAAAAUGUUUUAUCUUUUUUUUCUUGUUACUUUGUUUGUACAAUAUGUACAAAGUGUUCCUCAGAAUAGUUCAAUUGUUGAAUAUCUUCCUGGUUUUGAUGGACCUCUUCCUUUUUAUCUUGAGACUGGAUACAUUGGAAUUGGUAAAUCUGAGGAAGUACAACUAUUCUAUUAUUUUGUUAAAUCCGAAUCCGACCCGAGAAAAGAUCCGCUCGUGCUAUGGCUAACCGGAGGGCCCGGUUGCUCUUCCUUCACAGGGUUGGCAUACGAAGUAGGUCCAUUGGAUUUUGGCCAAAAGGCAUACAAUGGUAGCCUACCAAUUCUUAUUUCAAGUCCAUAUUCAUGGACCAAGUUCGCGAGCAUACUUUUCUUGGAGCAGCCUGUUAAUACUGGAUUCUCGUAUGCAACAACUUCAGAGGCAUACAAGUGUACUGAUCUACAAGCAUGUGAUCACGUCUAUGAAUUUCUAAGAAAGUGGCUUGUUAAUCAUCCAGAAUUCAUUUUGAACCCUUUCUAUGUUUCUGGGGAUUCAUAUUCAGGCAUUACAAUUCCAGUUAUUGUUCAACUAAUAUCAAAUGGAAUUGAACAAGGAAAAGAGCCAUUAAUCAACCUUAAGGGCUAUUCACUUGGAAAUCCAUUAACAUUUUCUGAGGAAUCCAAUUACCAAGUUCCUUACUCUCAUGGUAUGGGACUAAUAUCCAACGAACUUUAUGAGUCGUUGAACGAGAUUUGCAAAGGUGAAUACCUCAACAUAGAUCCUACCAACAAACAAUGUGUUGAAAACUUUAAAAUGUUCAAGAAUCUUGUGAGUGGUAUAAAUGAUCAACAAAUACUAGAGCCUUUUUGUGGAACAGACUCUGAAGAACAAUACUCUAGUGAAAGAAGAUCUCUUGAAGAACAAUAUUUCAUUUUUCAAAAAUACGAUGACUUUAUCUGUCGAGAAAGUCGUGUCGCCACACGCAAGCUUUCCAAUUAUUGGGCAAAUGAUCCAAGAGUUCAAGAAGCUCUCCAUGUUAGAAAGGGAACUAUAAGAAGAACAUGGGCAAGAUGUAGGCAAAGUAUUCUGUCUACAAGUUACACAGUUACUUUCAUGAAUAGUAUACCUUAUCAUGUAAACCUUAGUUCAAAAGGUUAUCGAUCACUUAUAUACAGUGGUGAUCAUGACAUGGUUGUUCCUUUCCAAUCAACACAAGCAUGGAUAAAGUAUCUAAAUUAUUCAAUUAUUGAUGAUUGGCGUCCAUGGACGGUUGAUGGACAAGUUGAAGGUUACACAAGGUCUUUCUCGAAUCAUAUGACAUUUGCAACAAUAAAGGGAGGAGGACACACAGCUCCAGAGUACAAACGCAAAGAGAGCUUCCAUAUGUUUAAAAGAUGGAUAGCCCAACAACCUUUGUAAUCUUUUUAGAUAUAUCAUGUCCGUAAUGAAUAAAUAUAUUAAGAUUUCAUUAGAAGAAGAAACACUUGUAAUCUUUAAUUAGUAUCAUAUGUAUAAUUCUUAAGAUUACCAUGAAAAUAUAACUAUACCUCUACGGACCUGUCAAUGCUCCGAGCCUACACCCUGGACGUGAUAGGUACUCGAGAAUUAUUAUUGGCUCCAUGUGAAA
This is a non-coding RNA of Solanum lycopersicum (tomato), 1662 nucleotides long. The record is from RefSeq and is a predicted model, not a curated record. Lineage: Eukaryota; Viridiplantae; Streptophyta; Magnoliopsida; Solanales; Solanaceae.